Molecule: ribosomal RNA, 262 nt
Filed under: uncultured bacterium
Lineage: Bacteria
Description: partial 16S ribosomal RNA
Rfam family: Bacterial small subunit ribosomal RNA
Source: RNAcentral
CGACCGGCGGACGGGUGCGUAACGCGUAUGCAACCUGCCUGACACAGGGGGAUAAUCCGAAGAAAUUUGGUCUAAUACCCCAUAAUACCGAUAUAGGCAUCUAUGUUGGUUGAAAGCUUUGGUGGUGUCAGAUGGGCAUGCGUUGUAUUAGAUAGUAGGCGGGGUAACGGCCCACCUAGUCUUCGAUGGAUAGGGGUUCUGAGAGGAAGGUCCCCCACAUUGGAACUGAGACACGGUCCAAACUCCUACGGGAGGCAGCAUG